This 253-nucleotide ribosomal RNA is filed under the name uncultured bacterium. RNAcentral describes it as "partial 16S ribosomal RNA". It matches the Rfam family "Bacterial small subunit ribosomal RNA", at positions 524 to 776 of the family's 1533-position model. The record is from RNAcentral.
GACGUAGGAGGCGAGCGUUAUCCGGAUUCACUGGGCGUAAAGCGCAUGUAGGCGGAUGUGUAAGUCAGUUGUUAAAGCCCCUGGCUCAACUGGGGGAGGUCAAUUGAGACUGCACGUCUUGAGGGCAACAGAGGCACGUGGAACUCCCGGUGUAGCGGUGGAAUGCGUAGAGAUCGGGAAGAACACCAGUGGCGAAGGCGGCGUGCUGGGUUGCGACUGACGCUGAGAUGCGAAAGUGUGGGGAGCAAACGGG